AAAACAUGGUUAGGGCAUUUCCUUAAAAGAUCCUUGAACCUCUCAAGGGCUUCAAAGAGUGUUACUAAAUCAUCUUAUCUAAAAGAAGAAAUUUCUUGUCUCAGCCU
Dioscorea cayenensis subsp. rotundata (Guinea yam) is the source of this 107-nucleotide small nucleolar RNA. NCBI's taxonomy places the organism in Eukaryota, Viridiplantae, Streptophyta, Magnoliopsida, Dioscoreales, Dioscoreaceae. The record is from RefSeq and is a predicted model, not a curated record.